RNAcentral lists this ribosomal RNA (722 nucleotides) under uncultured Lactobacillus sp. RNAcentral's name for it is "bacterial SSU rRNA". It matches the Rfam family "Bacterial small subunit ribosomal RNA", at positions 21 to 703 of the family's 1533-position model. The record is from RNAcentral. Lineage: Bacteria; Bacillati; Bacillota; Bacilli; Lactobacillales; Lactobacillaceae.
GGCUCAGGACGAACGCUGGCGGCGUGCCUAAUACAUUCAAGUCGAGCGAGUCUGCCUUGAAGAUCGGAGUGCUUGCACUCUGUGAAACAAGAUACAGGCUAGCGGCGGACGGGUGAGUAACACGUGGGUAACCUGCCCAAGAGAUCGGGAUAACACCUGGAAACAGAUGCUAAUACCGGAUAACAACAGAUGAUGCCUAUCAACUGUUUAAAAGAUGGUUCUGCUAUCACUCUUGGAUGGACCUGCGGUGCAUUAGCUAGUUGGUAGGGUAACGGCCUACCAAGGCGAUGAUGCAUAGCCGAGUUGAGAGACUGAUCGGCCACAUUGGGACUGAGACACGGCCCAAACUCCUACGGGAGGCAGCAGUAGGGAAUCUUCCACAAUGGACGCAAGUCUGAUGGAGCAACGCCGCGUGAGUGAAGAAGGGUUUCGGCUCGUAAAGCUCUGUUGUUGGUGAAGAAGGACAGGGGUAGUAACUGACCUUUGUUUGACGGUAAUCAAUUAGAAAGUCACGGCUAACUACGUGCCAGCAGCCGCGGUAAUACGUAGGUGGCAAGCGUUGUCCGGAUUUAUUGGGCGUAAAGCGAGUGCAGGCGGCUCGAUAAGUCUGAUGUGAAAGCCUUCGGCUCAACCGGAGAAUUGCAUCAGAAACUGUCGAGCUUGAGUACAGAAGAGGAGAGUGGAACUCCAUGUGUAGCGGUGAAAUGCGUAGAUAUAUGGAA